CACGUAUGCAAUCCACCUGUAACAGGGGGAUAACUCGGAGAAAUCCGGACUAAUACCCCAUAAUAUGGGCGCUCCGCAUGGAGAGUCCAUUAAAGAGAGCAAUUUUGGUUACAGACGAGCAUGCGCUCCAUUAGCCAGUUGGCGGGGUAACGGCCCACCAAAGCGACGAUGGAUAGGGGUUCUGAGAGGAAGGUCCCCCACAUUGGAACUGAGACACGGUCCAAACUCCUACGGGAGGCAGCAGUGAGGAAUAUUGGUCAAUGGUCGGCAGACUGAACCAGCCAAGUCGCGUGAGGGAAGACGGCCCUACGGGUUGUAAACCUCUUUUGUCGGAGAGUAAAGUACGCUACGUGUAGCGUAUUGCAAGUAUCCGAAGAAAAAGCAUCGGCUAACUCCGUGCCAGCAGCCGCGGUAAUACGGAGGAUGCGAGCGUUAUCCGGAUUUAUUGGGUUUAAAGGGUGCGUAGGCGGCACGCCAAGUCAGCGGUGAAAUUUUCGGGCUCAACCCGGACUGUGCCGUUGAAACUGGCGAGCUAGAGUGCACAAGAGGCAGGCGGAAUGCGUGGUGUAGCGGUGAAAUGCAUAGAUAUCACGCAGAACCCCGAUUGCGAAGGCAGCCUGCUAGGGUGCGACAGACGCUGAGGCACGAAAG
This 651-nucleotide ribosomal RNA is filed under the name uncultured bacterium. RNAcentral describes it as "bacterial SSU rRNA". It matches the Rfam family "Bacterial small subunit ribosomal RNA", at positions 114 to 759 of the family's 1533-position model. The record is from RNAcentral.